AGCAUGGUGUCUCUUGAUAACGAGGUAGUGGAUGGAAAGGUGGUUCCUGCUGAAGAUUAAACGAUUCUCUCCAUCUGCUACCUUCGUGCCUUUUCCUUGCAUAUACUUUUGUAAUAAACUCACAUUUUCUUGGACAUGUAUUUACCAAGUUGGCGUGUAUUCUCUUGAACUGAUACUUUGCUCAAUGAAGUUACUUUCGCAUUUCUUCUUGUAACCCCUUUGUUUACCUUUAACUUUCCUUGCAUGAUUUACUUUCAACGAAAUAACCUAGUAAUCUCGUAGGCACGAUCUUGUACUUGGCUGUUUCGAACCAUCUCAACUUCGAAUAAUAAUCACAUUGAUCAACUCGUAACUUAAGGCAAUAAACCUUAGCGUAAAAUGAUACCUUAAGCAAUGGACUUUAACUCAACCCCUGGCUUUAUAACACCGCUACACCCGAUCUGCUUCAUCAAAGCGGGUUUUUGACUUCUCUCCAUUGCUUGUUCGUUUCCUGGUCGCCAGGGACUCUUGGCAACACCAGCUUCUUCCUGCCUUCACUCCUUGGCCAUUGCUCUUUCAUCUGGGGGUAGAGGCGCCUUUCGGAUCCUUCUCCACCUCCUUUCGCUUCAGAGCAAGAGACCGGGUGGCUAGGCGUUCUCUUCGAACCUGCCUUAGCCACCCUCAGAACUUCUUCCACCCUAUACACCAUACCUGCACCCGUUCGAGACGAGAAGGAUUUUAUCUUGCCUGAACUAGCUCAUAGGCGAGAAGGUCUUUUACUCGCCUGAACUCGCUCAUAGGCGAGAAGGUCUUUGAAUCGUGCCUCUACAUUGCCCC
RNAcentral lists this long non-coding RNA (816 nucleotides) under Phaseolus vulgaris (common bean). RNAcentral describes it as "long non-coding RNA (PVUL_LNC003456)". Lineage: Eukaryota; Viridiplantae; Streptophyta; Magnoliopsida; Fabales; Fabaceae. The record is from RNAcentral.